This 462-nucleotide ribosomal RNA is filed under the name uncultured bacterium. RNAcentral's name for it is "partial 16S ribosomal RNA". It matches the Rfam family "Bacterial small subunit ribosomal RNA", at positions 28 to 507 of the family's 1533-position model. The record is from RNAcentral.
GACGAACGCUGGCGGCGUGCUUAACACAUGCAAGUCGAGCGGAAAGGCCCUUCGGGGUACUCGAGCGGCGAACGGGUGAGUAACACGUGAGUAACCUGCCCCAGACUUUGGGAUAACCCUCGGAAACGGGGGCUAAUACCGGAUACGACACAGCUUCGCAUGGGGUCUGUGUGGAAGGUUUUUCGGUUUGGGAUGGGCUCGCGGCCUAUCAGCUUGUUGGUGGGGUGAUGGCCUACCAAGGCGACGACGGGUAGCCGGCCUGAGAGGGCGACCGGCCACACUGGGACUGAGACACGGCCCAGACUCCUACGGGAGGCAGCAGUGGGGAAUAUUGCACAAUGGGCGGAAGCCUGAUGCAGCGACGCCGCGUGAGGGAUGACGGCCUUCGGGUUGUAAACCUCUUUCAGCAGGGACGAAGCGUAAGUGACGGUACCUGCAGAAGAAGCGCCGGCCAACUACGUG